RNAcentral lists this ribosomal RNA (773 nucleotides) under uncultured bacterium. RNAcentral describes it as "bacterial SSU rRNA". It matches the Rfam family "Bacterial small subunit ribosomal RNA", at positions 8 to 796 of the family's 1533-position model. The record is from RNAcentral.
AGAGUUUGAUCAUGGCUCAGGACGAACGCUGGCGGCGUGCUUAACACAUGCAAGUCGAGCGGUGAACCGGAGCUUGCUCCGGGGAUCAGCGGCGAACGGGUGAGUAACACGUGGCAACCUGCCCUCAGCUCUGGGAUAACUCCGGGAAACCGGGGCUAAUACCGGAUACGACUUCCUGCGGCAUCACGGGAAGUGGAAAGUUUUUCGGCUGAGGAUGGGCCCGCGGCCUAUCAGCUUGUUGGUGGGGUAAUGGCCCACCAAGGCGACGACGGGUAGCCGGCCUGAGAGGGCGACCGGCCACACUGGGACUGAGACACGGCCCAGACUCCUACGGGAGGCAGCAGUGGGGAAUAUUGCGCAAUGGGCGAAAGCCUGACGCAGCGACGCCGCGUGAGGGAUGAAGGCCUUCGGGUUGUAAACCUCUUUCAGCAGGGACGAAGCGAAAGUGACGGUACCUGCAGAAGAAGCACCGGCCAACUACGUGCCAGCAGCCGCGGUAAUACGUAGGGUGCAAGCGUUGUCCGGAAUUAUUGGGCGUAAAGAGCUCGUAGGCGGUUUGUCACGUCGGCCGUGAAAUCUCGGGGCUCAACCCCGAGCCUGCGGUCGAUACGGGCAGACUAGAGUGCUGUAGGGGAGACUGGAAUUCCUGGUGUAGCGGUGAAAUGCGCAGAUAUCAGGAGGAACACCGGUGGCGAAGGCGGGUCUCUGGGCAGUAACUGACGCUGAGGAGCGAAAGCGUGGGGAGCGAACAGGAUUAGAUACCCUAGUAGUCC